RNAcentral lists this ribosomal RNA (466 nucleotides) under uncultured bacterium. Its description in RNAcentral is "partial 16S ribosomal RNA". It matches the Rfam family "Bacterial small subunit ribosomal RNA", at positions 28 to 506 of the family's 1533-position model. The record is from RNAcentral.
GACGAACGCUGGCGGCGUGCUUAACACAUGCAAGUCGAACGGAAGGGCCCUGCUUUUGUGGGGUGCUCGAGUGGCGAACGGGUGAGUAACACGUGAGUAACCUGCCCUUGACUUUGGGAUAACUUCAGGAAACUGGGGCUAAUACCGGAUAGGAGCUCCUGCUGCAUGGUGGGGUUGGAAAGUUUCGGCGGUUGGGGAUGGACUCGCGGCUUAUCAGCUUGUUGGCGGGGUAGUGGCUUACCAAGGCUUUGACGGGUAGCCGGCCUGGGAGGGUGACCGGCCACAUUGGGACUGGGGUACGGCCCAGACUCCUACGGGAGGCAGGAGUGGGGAAUAUUGCACAAUGGGCGGAAGCCUGAUGCAGCAACGCCGCGUGCGGGAUGACGGCCUUCGGGUUGUAAACCGCUUUCGCCUGUGACGAAGCGUGAGUGACGGUAAUGGGUAAAGAAGCACCGGCUAACUACGU